AAAUUGAAGAGUUUGAUCAUGGCUCAGAUUGAACGCUGGCGGCAGGCCUAACACAUGCAAGUCGAGCGGAAACGAGUUAUCUGAACCUUCGGGGAACGAUAGCGGCGUCGAGCGGCGGACGGGUGAGUAAUGCCUAGGAAAUUGCCCUGAUGUGGGGGAUAACCAUUGGAAACGAUGGCUAAUACCGCAUGAUGCCUACGGGCCAAAGAGGGGGACCUUCGGGCCUCUCGCGUCAGGAUAUGCCUAGGUGGGAUUAGCUAGUUGGUGAGGUAAGGGCUCACCAAGGCGACGAUCCCUAGCUGGUCUGAGAGGAUGAUCAGCCACACUGGAACUGAGACACGGUCCAGACUCCUACGGGAGGCAGCAGUGGGGAAUAUUGCACAAUGGGCGCAAGCCUGAUGCAGCCAUGCCGCGUGUGUGAAGAAGGCCUUCGGGUUGUAAAGCACUUUCAGUCGUGAGGAAGGCGGCGUCGUUAAUA
RNAcentral lists this ribosomal RNA (478 nucleotides) under Vibrio parahaemolyticus. RNAcentral describes it as "bacterial SSU rRNA". It matches the Rfam family "Bacterial small subunit ribosomal RNA", at positions 1 to 465 of the family's 1533-position model. Lineage: Bacteria; Pseudomonadati; Pseudomonadota; Gammaproteobacteria; Vibrionales; Vibrionaceae. The record is from RNAcentral.